AGGAGGCCUGGGGCUCCUGGGGAGCUCCUAGACACUGAGGAGCCAGAGCUUUGCUCAUGCAGGUCUCUGCCCCAAGGAACUUGCUCUGCCUGAUGCUGUGAUCUUUGAGUCAUUUGACCUCUGCCUGGUUGCUGAGGCAGUGUCCUUGGCUGUAGACGGGGUGAGCUGCUGUGAGGGCUAUUUGUUGUUAGCAAAAGCCUCUGGGUGGAAGAGAGAAGGGCUUACUGGGGAGGCAGAGCGCUGCUGGUCAAACAACCUUGAUCGCGUGGACAGGAAAGAAAUCAAGCAAACAAGUCAAAGAGGAGGGCACAGGCUGCAUCCUGGCUGCGCCUGCCUGCUCUUCCUGUCCCAGCUGGAGGAUGGACCCCCACCCCCUCAGCUCUGACUCAUGUGUCAUGACUGCAGGUUUCUGCUGGGGACGCCCCAUGAGGAAGGUCUGCCUUUCCAGCUUGCUCUCCUGAGGAAGUGGUAUGCAGGUCUGCCUGUAGUUGUUCCCUGCCCUCCGGUGUGUCCACUUCUCACUACAGUUUUUUAUCAUCCACAAACUUGGACAGAGCACACUUCACUCCCUCGUCCAAGUCACUGAUGAAGACAUUGAAGAGUAUCGGUCCAAGGACUGAGCCCUGCAGGACCCCACUACCCACGCCCUUCCAGGUCAGUACCGACCCAUCCACUACCCCUCUCUGGGUAUGACUCUCUAGCCAAUUUGCCACCCACUGGACUGUGUAAUUAUCCAAGUCACAGCCUCUUAACUUGUUCACCAGUAUGGGGUGGGAUACCAUAUCAAAGGCCUUCCUGAAGUCCAAGUAUACGACAUCCACCCCUCCUCCUGCGUCGAGGCGUUUUGUAACCUGGUCAUAAAAAGAGACUAAAUUAGUCAGGCAUGAUCUACCUGCUACGAACCCAUGCUGGUUUACCCUCAGCAUAAUUUUUCCUGCUGGGC
This 943-nucleotide long non-coding RNA is filed under the name Crocodylus porosus (Australian saltwater crocodile). RNAcentral describes it as "lncRNA (ENSCPRG00005007876.1)". The record is from RNAcentral. Lineage: Eukaryota; Metazoa; Chordata; Crocodylia; Crocodylidae.